Molecule: long non-coding RNA, 1342 nt
Organism: Aphis gossypii (cotton aphid)
Lineage: Eukaryota; Metazoa; Arthropoda; Insecta; Hemiptera; Aphididae
Exons: 3
Source: RefSeq, a predicted model, not a curated record
UUUAGUUUCUUAAAAACAAAAUGCAAAUACCAAAAAUAAAUAUUACAUAUUAUACCAAUUUAAUAUUUUGAUGUAGUGGUUAAUAUAUAAUUAGUUAUUAGUUAACGUUACACUAAACAGAUGUACUUGAUCAAAUAUAAUAUGCUUACUUUUGAUUUAAUUUAUAUUUCUUUUGCUUUCAGUAAAAGCGCAAGUGUGUGGUUAUUUUAGCAGUAGAAGUUUUUUAUUAGCUGAUCGACACCGUCGGCCAACAUGGUUUAUCACGGCAAACAAGUUAAGUUAUCUGCAGUUGAGCAUUUGGUCUGUUAAUCAGUAUAUUUAUAUAGACUUACAAUCAAUGCGACCAUCAACGAGUAAAAAAAAGCCAACAUUUUUUAAAUUUGGAAAAUCUAUUGGUCAUGUUAUUGUUGUUAUGAUGAUACGUUGUGCAAAAUAUGCCAAGUACAUACAUUAUCGAUAAUCAUGGAGGUGCUGUGUACACAAAUCAUCCAUGAGCACAAGGCCACGGAUGACUUCACUGUGGAUACAGACGAUACAGUAUAUUAUUAUCUCAAUCAAUCAUUUGCCAAUUUAUUCAAAACAUCAGCUGGGAUAAUGUUAACGAAAAUCAGUUUUGUAAGAAUACUUUUAAAAAUUAUUCUGAGUAGUUAAGUGUGGGAAAUAAAAUGUAUUAUAAUAUUUAAAAUACUAAUCAAAUAAUAAUGCAACGUAUAAUUUUAAAUUUAAAUAUAAGUUUUGGUUUAGAUACACUUUGAAAAAUAUUACAAUACAAACGGUCACAACAUUAUUUUUAAUUUAGGUAUACCUAUUUGCGUUUAUUACAGUUUGAUUGUAUAUUAUAAUUUAUUAUUAUUAUUUGUUAAUGAAUAUUUUUACCACUCUAUUUGUAGUACCCAUAAACUCGUAUUGUUAUCUUCAAAAAUGAAAAUAGCAUCACCGUAUGUAUUUUUUUUAUUAUAUUUGAUAUAUUUAGGUAAUUUACAUCUAAAUUUGUUGGUUUCUCUCCAUCAUGUCUGUAUAAUGUAACAAUAAAAAAAGAUAGCGGCUCGUUAUGAGUCACUGUGUAUCGUUUGAAUUACGUGCGUAAAAAUACUUUUUUCAUAAGCCACGUUGUUAUAAUAUAAUAUAUAGUGUAAGAUAAAAACAUUUUAUGCUUUGGUUACUACAGAAUACAAUUUAUUUACCCGUUUUUUAGUUUCACUUAUGCGAGUCUAUUCGUGAAAAUAUAUAUUACGUAUUAUUUUAUGUUUAAGUUAAAGUUCGUUGAAAAAAGUUUAUUCCAACACUCAUAUAGAAAAAUACGACGUUGUAAAAACCUAAAUGGAAAUCCAUUUUAGAUGGU